Mastomys coucha (southern multimammate mouse) is the source of this 141-nucleotide small nucleolar RNA. RefSeq annotates it as small nucleolar RNA SNORA70. The record is from RefSeq and is a predicted model, not a curated record. NCBI's taxonomy places the organism in Eukaryota, Metazoa, Chordata, Mammalia, Rodentia, Muridae. The transcript has a single exon.
UUGCAAUAAGGAAUUUAGACAUAUAUACUAGUCCUUUGCCCAUGGAGACAUGGCGUGCAAUGAUUGCAAACAUCAGCCUCUUUGGUAGUGUAUGUAGCCUGUUGCCUAUAUGUGUUGCCAUGAAGGACCUUGGAGACAAUU